RNAcentral lists this ribosomal RNA (482 nucleotides) under Bacillus subtilis. RNAcentral's name for it is "bacterial SSU rRNA". It matches the Rfam family "Bacterial small subunit ribosomal RNA", at positions 925 to 1374 of the family's 1533-position model. Lineage: Bacteria; Bacillati; Bacillota; Bacilli; Caryophanales; Bacillaceae. The record is from RNAcentral.
CUACACGUCAUUUUCAGGCGGGAGCGCAGUGGUUUAUUCGAGCACGCGAAGAACCUUACCAGGUCUUGACAUCCUCUGACAAUCCUACAUAUAGGACGUCCCCUUCGGGGGCAGAGUGACAGGUGGUGCAUGGUUGUCGUCAGCUCGUGUCGUGAGAUGUUGGGUUAAGUCCCGCAACGAGCGCAACCCUUGAUCUUAGUUGCCAGCAUUCAGUUGGGCACUCUAAGGUGACUGCCGGUGACAAACCGGAGGAAGGUGGGGAUGACGUCAAAUCAUCAUGCCCCUUAUGACCUGGGCUACACACGUGCUACAAUGGACAGAACAAAGGGCAGCGAAACCGCGAGGUUAAGCCAAUCCCACAAAUCUGUUCUCAGUUCGGAUCGCAGUCUGCAACUCGACUGCGUGAAGCUGGAAUCGCUAGUAAUCGCGGAUCAGCAUGCCGCGGUGAAUUCGUUCCCGGGCCUUGUACAACCCGCCCGUGA